GGGGGCGGGGAGUGGGGCCGGGCGCGCGCCGGGGCGCCCCACCCCGCCUCCGCCCCCGCCCCACGCGCCGGCGGCGCGGACCUCCUUGUCAAUGGGAGCGCGGGGCCGGGCUGCCCGCAGGACGGUCAGGUGGGCCCCCCAGCUCGCUGCCAGCGCGGCCUCUGUCCCUCUCGGGCCGGCUCUCCAUCUUGUCGCCCGUAGCCCGCCUUCUCCGUGGCUCUCCAGCCGCUGGGGCCGCAGAGCCGAGGCCGGGUUACCUCAGGAAACGCGAUGUGGUAGUGGGUCGGAAUAAACCCGCGCGCCCCAGAAUUCGCCUUGGGGGCGUAAGGACAGAUUCGGACUUUUCGUUUCCUAUGUCCACAUUUAUUGAGCACCUAAUAUGUGACACCCGAGGCUGUAAGAAGAGGAACGCAGCGGGCGGAGAAAAGCCAGAGCUUUUUCUCUGUGAGCCGCUGCCUCCAGGGCCAUAGCCGACCCUGCUCCGAGAUCCCAGCCGCCGCUCUCCGUGCAGGAGGGGUGCCCACCCUGGGGAGGCCAGGGUGCCCGGAGUGGAGGGACAGGGCUUCAAGCGACCGGGAGUUUCCAGCAAACCCCUGAUCCCUGAGCAGUUUAUUUUAAAAGCUUUUGCAAAUGUUGGACGGUUUCGUUUGGUGGAGGCCGUCUUUGCACUAAAUUCUCCUGUCCUCCCCCUUCGAAACGCACAAAAUGAAUUUUGAACAGAUUUUGGAUGAGAGGUUUUCUUCCUUUUUUCAUCUUCUGAAACAUUUCCCCCUCAUUUCUUCUCAGAUAAAGACCCAGAAACCCGGGACAGUUACUCGGUGUACAGCUAGUCAAAUACUGAGGAAACCAGUCGAUAUUUGCCAAAGAUUGGGCAUGUUCUGGGUGGUCUCAGAUUUUGAAGAAACGACUUUUUUACUGCACAAAAUAGUUUUACAAUCAGUUCCAUCAGACAGCCCCAGGGGCUCUCCUAGGGAAAGGGGCCAAUAGGCAAGGUUGCAUGGGGAUAAGAGAGGCAAGCGGCCAGUGGAAAACGGUUUUUUGUUUUUUUUUUCCUAACAGUUGGGCAUUUCUGUAGCUCUGAAAGCAAACUUGUUUGUUUCAUUUCAACGAUAGAAAAAAAACACUCCUGUUUUGGAAAUGUAACCCAGCAUAAAAAUACAUUUGCAAUGGGGAAAAAGAAAGCAGUUUAGGGCCACCCAGAAGAAAAUAUUUUUUCCCUGAUUUUUUUUUAAUUUGGUAUUUCCCAGUGUGGGUUUGCCUCAUUUUACAAAUAGCUGCCCAUGUCAAGAUGUGGGUAUGUGAUUUAAAUAUUUUAAUUUGAAUCACAUUUUACAUAGUCUAGGAAACUGACAAAAGAAUCCUAUAGAGAAUUGUUUUAUAAAGUGAAUAACUGCUUCUCUACCUACCCGCCCCUCUCAUUCUUCUUUUCUGUGCGUGUUUUUGGGGGGCUGUUAUGGGAUAAAUCUUGUUUGGCUUAAAAAUCACUAAAACGCAGCCUUUCAAAUCCAAAACAGAGAGCUUAGGUACCCAACAUUCUAUAGAAUGUAUUAUUUCCUCAAGAGGUUGCUAGGAACAGUUAUGUAGAUCUACCAGGUGCAGGGAAGCACUCCACACCCUCACCCAGGUCCUGUAUCCCUGCAAGACUGCGUUGGAAAGACUGAAGAGGAUAAAGACUCAAAUCCUCAGCAGGGCCUCUAAGGCCCCUCAUGAUCUGGCCCCUGGAGACCUUACCAGUGCCCCCAGCCCUGUCCCGAGUGGCACCAGUCUGCUCACAGGCCCCCAGCCCAGGUUUCAGCUCAAAUAUCACUUCUUCAGGGAAACCUCCCUGGAUCCCCCUGACUGCUUCAGCCCUUCUGCCUAGUACAUCUCAGAGCACAUUUCCUUAUCAAAUAUCAUGAGAUAAGGUCUUUCUCUGCCACUCAAGCUGGAGUACAGUGGCAUGAUCAUAGCUCACUGCAGCAUCAACCUCCUGGGCUCAAGCCAUCUUCCAACCUCACAGCCACCUGGGUAGCUGGGACUAUGGGUACCCACCCCAUACCCGGGCCCCUGAGCUCCACCGGCAGAACCAGCUGUCCUAAUCUGCAGCCCUUUACCUGGACCUCACCCAUUCUCAGAUGACAUGGCCUUGAGUGUCUCUGCACCUCCCUUCCUGAACCCCUUGCAUCUUCCUGGUUACUCCUCCUUUGCCUGUCCUGUUCCCUCAGGGCCUCGCUUCCAGCUACUAACAGAGCUGACAAGCCAUAGCAGGACGGCUAUCCCCUGAGAGAUAGGAGAGGAGGAGAAACAGCCUGACAGGGGCCUGGAGCAGCUGGCUGGCGUCAGUAAUUUCCUGCAGGAGACUCUGCUGGCCGAGCACACAUCACCCUUCUGUUGCUCCUCUGUAUUCUCCCUUGUGCUACUAAAAUACGCUAAUGUAACUCCUGGGCUGUGCUAAGCUAAAUGCAGUUAUUUAACCUCAUUUCUAUGGAACCCAGGUCUAAAGCAGCAACAUCUAUUUGGAACAAGAUGGGGAGGAGCAAGAGUGAAUUCAUGCUCUUCUUCAUGGAGGUGGAUGUUUCUGGAAGGAGGUUUGUGAUGUCCUUUGCAGGGACAUGGAUGGAGUUGGAAGCCCUUAUCCUCAGCAAACUAAUGCAGGAACAGAAAACCAAACACUGCAUGUUCUUACUUAUAAGUGGGAACUGAAUGAUGAGAACACAUGGACACAUAAGGGGAAAUGACACACACUGGGGCCUGUCAGAGCUGAGGGGUUGUGGGGAGAGGGAGAGAAUCAGGAAUAAUGGCUAAUGUAUGCUGUGCUUAAUAUCUAGGUGAUGGGAUGAUCUGUGCAGCAAACCACCAUGGCACACGUUUACCUAUGUAACAAACCUGGACAUCCUGCACAUGUAUCCUGGAACUUAAAAUAAAAGUUGAAGAAAAAAAAAAAAGAAAAAGUUUUGUGAAGUCUGGAGGUGUAAUGGACAGACACAGGCUUAGGGUGAGGCAGGCCCAUGUUCAGAUCCUUGCUUCCUCACUAAGCUAGCAGGGAGACUGGCUAUAUCACCGAGCCUCAGUUUCCUCACCUGUACAUCUGCUGUAGAAGUGGCAUAUCAUAUGCUGUCCUGGCUGUGACCUUUGGUAGCUCAUCACUGCCCUUCUUACUGUUCUCAGGGUAAACCCCUUUCCAGGCAGAGUUGCCAAGACACCCAGUAAAAUUUGAAUUUCAGAUAAACACUGAAUAAUUUUUUAGUAUAAUGAUGCUCCAAAUAUUGCAUGGGAUAUACUUAACACUAAAAAAAAAAUCAUUGUUUGUCUGAAAUUCAGAUUUAACUGGGCAACCUGCAUUUUUAAAUAAACUUUUAAUUUUAGAAUCAUUUUAGAUUUACAGAAAAAAAUAUAAAGAUCGUACAGAGUUACCACACACCCUGCACCCAGUUUCCCCUAUAACUAAUAUCUUACGUCGAGCCAGUGCAGUGGCGCACAUUUGUAAUCCUAGCUGCUCAGGAGGCUGAGGUGGGAGUAUUGUUUGAGCCCAGGAGCUCGAGGCUGCAGUGAGCCAUGAUUGCACCAUUGCACUCCAGCCUGAGUGACGGAGUAAGAUGCCAUCUUUUAAAAAAAAAUCUUAUGCCAGUAUGAUACAUUUGUCACAAUUAAUGAACUAAGAUUGAUAUAUUAUCAUUAACUAAAGUCUAUACUUCAUUAGAUUUCCUUAGUUUUUCCCCAGUGUCCUUUUCUAUUCCAGGAUCCUGUCCAGGACACCAUAUCAUAUUUAGUUGUCAAGUCUUCCUAGUUCCUCUUGGCUGUGACAGUUUUUUAGACUUCCCUUGUUUUUGAUGACCUUGACCGUUUUGAGGAGCACUGGUCUGGGGUUUUGUAGAAUGCCCCUCAAUUCAGCCUGUCAGAUGUUUUUCUCAUGAUUAGGCUGGGGUAUUAUUUUUUUGGGAGGAAGACCACAGAGGUCAAGAGCCAUUCUCUUCACAUCUCGUUAAGGGUCUGUACUGUCCAUAUGACUUACCACUGUUGAUGUUGACCUUGAUCACCUGGCUAAGGUAGUGUUCAUCAGGUUUAGCAACUGUAUUUUCAUUUGCUAAAUCUGUAACUCGAUUCCAGGCCUGUCAGUCUUUCAUGACCAGACCUUUGCUUACUGCUGCUGCCAUUUUUCUGCUCCAACCAUAGUGAACUGCUAACAAUUCCUCUAAUGAACUAUUCUCUGUCUCUCUUACUGCCAGGCCUUAGGGCUUGCUCUUUCCUUUGCCUGGAAUGUUCCACUCCCCCACAGCCUCCCAUCCACACCUCCCCUUCACCCGAUUAACUUACUUUUCAGUUGGGCUUCAGUGUUCCGCUUAGGUCUCACUCCUUCCGGGAAGAUUUCUUGCACCCUCCUCUGCCAAGACCAGGUUAGGUGUUGCUUCUCUGCCCUGGUCCUACUGUGUUGUGAUAUUUACCAUCCUGUGGUUGUGAACUGUUUGCUUGUCUCCCUGACCCCAGUGCAUCCCUGACAUCUUACACAGUGCCUUGUUGCAACUCAAUAAAUAAUUGCUGAAUAAAUGAAUGGUUACACCAGGCACUUCAGGUAAAGCCUUUAACACACUACCUGCCUUGUAAACAGUAGAUGCUCAGUAAAUGCUUGUCUUUUUCAAUGUAGGAAAAAUAAUCUUCCCUAGAUCUGAGCAACUGUAAUAAGUUUGUGCUCGCCCGACACCCGCAACACAUGUCCCUACCUGGAGAAGAGAUUCUGGAACAGUGGUCUCCUAGGAUUCCCUGAGAGCCACAGUUACCUGUAUCAAAGUAUCAAGGAGGCCACUUAAUGACAGAGAUAUUAGGGUAAGUAGGCUACUUUCCGUCAGUUUGCAGAUUAAAAAGGCAUCUUUCUCCCAGUGGAGAAACUGAAUUAUGAACCCCUUCGCCCAGAUUUCCAUAGUUGGACGCGCUGACCCAUUAUUUUUAGUGAAAGGGACAAAGGGACCCACCUCCUUCUCUUUUUGCUGCCCAUGUGCCACACACAUGUAAAUGACAUGUGUACCUAUUGUUGCUUGUCCUUGAUGAUGAGUACACUUGUACAUUGAUAUAUUUAUUAGUGUUUUGCUUUUCACUAAUCCAGCAUAGUUGUGACCCCACCCCUGAGACCUAAAGGAAGGAGACACCUCAUAGGGGGUCUCAGGAAUCUCUGAUGAACCUUAGGACUAAUUAUAAUUCUUUCAUUUAUUAUAACUUCAUGCCAGGUAUUUUAUCUGCCUCACCUCUAAUCCUCUCAAUAACCUUGCAUGUUUUUAUUCAUCCCGUAUUACAAAUGAGAAAGCUAAGGUUUGGGUGCUUAAGAAAUUUUCCCCAAGUUUUUUUUGUGGUGGAGCCAGCUUGGAGCUAGGGCAAUAGACUUCAGAGUCUCAGCUCCAUCCUCUCCAUGGUUCAGAAAGUUCUCUAGUUCUGUAAGAGACAGCCAACAUCCCCCAAGGGCUUGUGCUCAUUGGAAUGGCUCUCGGGUCCACUCCUCCCUUUGUAUCCCCAGGUCACCUCACUAGAGCAGACCUCCAUCAGUCAGUGUUUACCCACCUUCCAGAGCCUCCUUCCUGGACUCUUGCCCCCGGAUUCCCCACCCAUAGCACUCUCACACUGCCAUCGCCCAACUCAGGAUCCCAAGAAUGCCCAUUUUCAGCCUUAUAAAUCCUUUGCCUUGCUUCCAAGACCCUAUGGUCUAUUUCUUUUCCAAGCCUUCUCUCCGUGCAUCAGAUUCUUCAUGAAACUUACACUGACUAGUCCCCCACCCAUCUCCCUUUCCUUGGAUCUUCAUGGCACCUAGGUAUGCAAGGCAUAAAGUAGUGUAGAAUGCCCUUCUGGCUUGUGUGGAACCACAGGGGAGUCCCCUGGGUUUCUAAUAUGGUUUUCCCAUCUGGAUUGACACCCCCGAAGGACAAAAACCUCUUGUUAAAAAAGUCAACUUUAUUGAGGUAUAACAUACAUACACCCUGUUUUAAGUGUUGAGUUUGAUAAGGUUUGACAAAUGUAUACACCCAGGUAACCACCGUCACAACCAAGAUAUAGAACAUUUCUAUCACCCCAGAAAUACCUCUGAGCCCCUUUGUAGUCAAUUCCUCCACCCCCGACCCAGGAAGCCACUUGUUGGAUUUCUAUUAAUAUAGAUUAGUUUUGCCUGCCGUUGAACUCCACAAAAAUGCAGUCACAAAGGGUGUAGUCUUUUGUGUCAGCCUAUUUUGGUUAGCACGAUAUUUUAAAGAUUCCUCCAUACUGUUUAUUACUUUCUUCUUGCUGAGUAGUAUUCUAUGGUAGAGACUAUACUACAACUUGAUUGUCCAUGUUGACUAAAUUUGAGGCUGUUUCACAUUUUUGGCUAUUGUGAAUAAAGUAGCUAUGAAUGUUUACACACAAGCCUUUUGUGAAUGUGUUUUCAUUUCUU
Molecule: long non-coding RNA, 6388 nt
Filed under: Homo sapiens (human)
Lineage: Eukaryota; Metazoa; Chordata; Mammalia; Primates; Hominidae
Description: HSALNT0231616
Source: RNAcentral